RNAcentral lists this long non-coding RNA (524 nucleotides) under Ursus maritimus (polar bear). RNAcentral describes it as "lncRNA (ENSUMAG00000010072.1)". Lineage: Eukaryota; Metazoa; Chordata; Mammalia; Carnivora; Ursidae. The record is from RNAcentral.
GUUGCCUCCGGGUCUGGCUCGGUCCUCAUUCGGGGUCCUGCCCCUUUUCAGCCCGCCUUUGAUGCUGUCCUCAGAAUUGCCUGACUCUCAUGACAGGACAACGGGGCCCGCUAUCCCACUGCUCCUUUUAUCCGAGUCCAGGAACAACAUCGUAUCGUCUUCAGGAAGAUUUUGGCGAGAACGGGCAUAAUUCGCUUCCCCAAGCCCCAAAGUUGGGUUUCUGACCCGGCGCGUGUGCUGGACGCCUCGGGGCGGAGCCUGGGCUGGCGCGUGUGGCGGGCACUGCGAGCGGCGCGCAGUAUAAAGCGGGACGCGCGGCCACUCGCGCAUGCUUUCGAGAGAGGGAGCGGCUGGUGAGCCUGUCUUGGAGUUUUGAUUGUGUUCCGUUCGCGCGGGUGCAUCUUCAAGCUGAGGGACCACCCACUACAACCCCAUCUUGGUGGUUCCUCCAGGAGUCAAACAGCCCCGCCAUCCCUCUGUGCUUGCUCCUGGGGCAGUGCCUCUCCGGGCUUCCUCCCGUUCGC